UCGAAAAACGUACAUGAAAGGAGGGAGUAGCUUUUAUUAUUAUUUCAUGGACAUUGAUUGAGUUAAUUUAAAACACGUACUACACCAGAUGACCAGAAGCAGACCGAAAUCAACUAUCUUCUCACCUACUCCACACUAUCAGCACGUAUUCAUUUGCUUCUUUCUCUAGUCUUCUUGUCUUUUCGGAGCUCCCGGCCAUGGAAAGGAGCAAAAGGCUGAGCCAGAUUGGAUCCACUGCAUCUCAGGAUAAGCCCGAGUCUCCCCUCGGUUUGCUACUUUGUGGUACUAACCACACGCACCUCGUGGUUGGGAUGAUGCUUGGUUUGGCUCCCAGCCUGCCUCGUCGAUCUCCCGGCCGGUGAACACGUAGCAGGGCCCUAAUAGCAACUGCGUGAUGGAGGAUGAGAGGUCAUCGAACUCGACGGUGCCUUUCACGUCAGCGUCCAUGGAGGCGAUGAAGGAGUGGAUCUUGUUCCCUUAGCUCCUUCACAAUUUUGGGGGUCCUGGGAGUGUUAUCCGUCCCCAACCGCCGAGCUGCAGGCGUCGUUGCUGUUCCCAAGCGAGGCACCCGACGCAUCAUCUUCAUCCUCGAUAGUAGCAGCCCGGCUUCGGCAUUGCAUUCUUCCACCUGCAAUAUACUUUAAGGUUGAAGAGGCGCGGGUCUAUCAUAAGGACCUGGUGAUCUUCAGGAAUGGGUACUCUUUUAAAUUUCUUGUUGAUGUUUGAAGUUUGCUAUCUGCCUGUCCGUUUGUUCUUCUGUACUUCAUCAAUUGGUUUUAUCAUGGUAAGCAACCCAAUUCAUUGAUCCAUGAUCAGUAACGAAUUUAUCAAUGCCAUAUAGAGGAACUGUGCAAAUUAUCUAACUUAGUGCAGGUGAUACAUACUGGAGAUAAUUUGAUGCACAUGAUACUUGCUGGAGGUGGUGUGAUUGCUUGACGGAGCCGAUAACAGUCGAGGAGAGUCAACAGAGAAAACUGGGGCACUUGCAACUAUCGGAGGAAGGUGAUGUCCAAGUGCCGAUCGCUGGAGGAAGACGAUGACGAAAGUGGGCUCUGAAGGUGGGAUCCGACUUGUGGGGCAUGCUGAAACUGACUUGAUGCUAGCUUGUAGAACUAGUUUCAUUGCCCUGGCACCAUUGCUAACGUGAUUGCCAGAGUUCAUAAAUCACAACAUUACCUUCUCGCAAUAUCGCCUCGCCCUAAUUACUCGAGGUAGCUGCCGCCGGCCUAGGACAACAAAUCAAUCUAAGUUAGACUUUGUUCCCUUGGUGUUUUGGCAGUAAAAUAUCAAAUUAUCUGUUUGUUUCUCAACCCCUUGGUUGCGAUGCUUUAAUUGUAAGUUACACUGUAUAUGUAGAUGCAACUUUCCAUUAAUCUAUGUUGAGAAUAGUAACUUUGCACAUAGUUCUUUUGGCCGGUGACA
Triticum aestivum (bread wheat) is the source of this 1422-nucleotide long non-coding RNA. RefSeq lists it as uncharacterized. The record is from RefSeq and is a predicted model, not a curated record. NCBI's taxonomy places the organism in Eukaryota, Viridiplantae, Streptophyta, Magnoliopsida, Poales, Poaceae. The transcript is spliced from 4 exons.